GGAAUCUUCCACAAUGGACGCAAGUCUGAUGGAGCAACGCCGCGUGAGUGAAGAAGGCUUUCGGGUCGUAAAACUCUGUUAUUGAAGAAGAACGUGCGUGACAGUAACUGGUCAUGCAGUGACGGUAUUCAAUCAGAAAGUCACGGCUAACUACGUGCCAGCAGCCGCGGUAAUACGUAGGUGGCAAGCGUUAUCCGGAUUUAUUGGGCGUAAAGCGAGCGCAGGCGGUUUGAUAAGUCUGAUGUGAAAGCCUUUGGCUUAACCAAAGAAGUGCAUCGGAAACUGUCAGACUUGAGUGCAGAAGAGGACAGUGGAACUCCAUGUGUAGCGGUGGAAUGCGUAGAUAUAUGGAAGAACACCAGUGGCGAAGGCGGCUGUCUGGUCUGCAACUGACGCUGAGGCUCGAAAGCAUGGGUAGCGAACA
This 424-nucleotide ribosomal RNA is filed under the name uncultured Lactobacillus sp. RNAcentral's name for it is "bacterial SSU rRNA". It matches the Rfam family "Bacterial small subunit ribosomal RNA", at positions 358 to 774 of the family's 1533-position model. Lineage: Bacteria; Bacillati; Bacillota; Bacilli; Lactobacillales; Lactobacillaceae. The record is from RNAcentral.